This 244-nucleotide long non-coding RNA is filed under the name Musa acuminata (dwarf banana). RNAcentral's name for it is "long non-coding RNA (MACU_LNC002286)". The record is from RNAcentral. Lineage: Eukaryota; Viridiplantae; Streptophyta; Magnoliopsida; Zingiberales; Musaceae.
UUGCACAUUUUUAGUGGAGGAAUGAAUAUGUUCAUGCCUCCAUCCAAAUAGAGCUCUAAGAUGCUGCUGUGUGUAUGUUCUUCCAUGUUUUUUGUGUCCCUCUGGAACCAUUUCAGCAUUGAUACCUCAUAGAAAAGCUAUAUAAGAUGACUAAUCCACAUAGGAUAGCUAAUCUUGGCAUUAAGACUUGUAUUUAUAGAAGGAGAUGCUCAUCCUUGCCUUUGGUGUAAGUGUUGCUUGUGGC